Molecule: RNA transcript, 1729 nt
Organism: Ziziphus jujuba (common jujube)
Lineage: Eukaryota; Viridiplantae; Streptophyta; Magnoliopsida; Rosales; Rhamnaceae
Gene name: WAT1-related protein At5g40240
Exons: 8
Source: RefSeq, a predicted model, not a curated record
UGACUUUGGAACACAAUUUGGUAUCAGUAUUUGCAGAGUCGAAAAGGAGGAAGGAAGAAGAGGGAGAGACUGCGGGUGGGGCAUUGGGAUUGGACAUUGGAGAGAGAAGAUGGGGAAGGUUGCUUUGCUUCCAUUUGUAGGGAUGAUGAUGACGGAGUGUGCGCAAGCUGGGCUUAUCAUAAUAAGCAAAGUGGUCAUGUCCAAAGGGAUGAACAACCUCAUCUUCAUCUUCUACUCCAACUUACUUGCCUCUCCUAUCCUCCUCCUUUUUUCCUUCCUCUUCCACAGAUCAGAGAGACCUCAACUCACUCCCUCCAUCCAUGCUGGCUUUUUCUUGCUUGGUGUACUUGGCUUCUUUGCUCAGUUCUUUGGAUAUACUGGGAUUAAUUAUAGCUCUCCAACUCUUGGCACUGCAAUGCUCAACCUUGUCCCAGCUUUUACCUUCAUAUUUGCAAUUACUCUAAGAAUGGAAAUAUUCAAUUGGAGAAGCUCCAGUACCCUAGCUAAGUCCGUAGGAACCAUAGUUUCAAUUACAGGGGCACUCAUUGUGACCCUCUACAAGGGGCCCUCACUUCUUAUGACAUCCCCAUCGUUUGACUUGUCUCAUGCACAAUUACUUGCGCAACAGCCUAACUGGAUCGUUGGAGGAUUGUUUCUUGUAGUGGAUUGCAUUAUGUCUUCAUCUUGGACCAUUGUAGAGGCAAAGAUCCUCAGGAAAUACCCAGCCGGACUGAUUGUGGUCUUUUUUUACUGCUUCUAUGCUGCUGUUCUUUCUGGAGCAGUCUCUUUGAUUGUGGAAAGAGAUCCAAGUGCUUGGAGCUUGAAACCUAACAUCAGGUUGCUUGCUGUUCUAUACUCGGCAGUUUUUGGCUCUGCCUUCCAAGUUGGUGUAUCUACAUGGUGCCUAAGCAGGACAGAUCCUGUUUUUGUAGCUAUGUUCAAGCCUGUGGGGAUUGUCGUUACAGUUAUUGUUGGUGUUAUCUUCAUGGGGGAGACUCUCUACUUUGGAAGCAAAAUGGCAAAAGGAUACGUAUAUCAGUAUUAUUAUUUUCUGAUGCAUAUUGAUUGGAGCAAUUAUAAUUGUCGCUGGGUUUUACUCUGUGAUGUGGGGAAAAGCCAAAGAAGCAAAGAUUGAUGAAGAUGUCGGAAUAAGUAGCUUGGAAUCAAAUAGGCAGCAGGCACCUCUCCUGCAAAAUAGUAUUGAAAGCUAGAAGCUUUAUAUGGGUCUUAAACAUGGAGAGCAUGACCAAAGAUGUAAGCAAGAAUUGAGAGUUGAGUUUUACGGGGUCAAAAACCACCAAAAGUUUAUGUAUUAAGGAGCUGGAGCUUCUUCAUAUGCCACUUUACAAUGUGCUUUACUUCUGAUUCAAAAGGUAUAAAUAAUAAUGUAAUUUUAUGACAUAUUCCUUAUCAUUGGAUAAAUGAAAAUCACCAUAUUCUUGGCUACUAUGCCAUACCAUAGCUUUUCUCUUUAUCAAUGGUGGAAAAGAAGUUGUUGAGUUCACAGUUGGAAAUCUGAAAUUUAGACUAGGUACAAGCUUUAUGGUCUACCAUCCAGGCAUCCACAUUCUAUUUAUUUAUUUGUCAGUGGUGUGGGGAGAGUCUUUCCAGUUUUAAGGGGAUCAAGUUUUUGAUAAAAUGCAGAAUUCACUGUAUAACUGUCGAGUAUAUAUAUUGACAUUUUCCACCGUUGAAAUUAAAUCAUUAUAAAAAAGGAUUUCUUAUUCUU